ACGUACGCUGGCGGCACGCCUAACACAUGCAAGUCGAACGAAGUAGCAAUACUUAGUGGCAGACGGGUGAGUAACAUGUGGGUAUCUGCCCUUUGGCCUGGAAUAACACGAGGAAACUUGUGCUAAUACCGGAUAAGUCUUUACGGAGAAAGCUUUAUGCACCAUUGGAUGAGCCUGCACUUGAUUAGUUUGUUGGUGGGGUAAUGGCCUACCAAGACUGUGAUCAAUAGCUGAUUUGAGAGGAUGAUCAGCCACAUUGGGACUGAGACACGGCCCAAACUCCUACGGGAGGCAGCAGUGGGGAAUCUUGCACAAUGGAGGAAACUCUGAUGCAGCGAUGCCGCGUGAGUGAAGAAGGCCCUUGGGUUGUAAAGCUCUUUCGUCGGGGAAGAAAAUGACUGUACCCGAAUAAGAAGGUCCGGCUAACUUCGUGCCAGCAGCCGCGGUAAUACGAAGGGACCUAGCGUAGUUCGGAAUUACUGGGCUUAAAGAGUUCGUAGGUGGUUGAAAAAGUUAGUGGUGAAAUCCCAGAGCUUAACUCUGGAACUGCCAUUAAAACUUUUCAGCUGGAGUAUGAUAGAGGAAAGCAGAAUUUCUAGUGUAGAGGUGAAAUUCGUAGAUAUUAGAAAGAAUACCAAUUGCGAAGGCAGCUUUCUGGAUCAUUACUGACACUGAGGAACGAAAGCAUGGGUAGCGAAGAGGAUUAGAUACCCUCGUAGUCCAUGCCGUAAACGAUGUGUGUUAGACGUUGGAAAUUUAUUUUCAGUGUCGCAGGGAAACCGAUAAACACACCGCCUGGGGAGUACGACCGCAAGGUUAAAACUCAAAUGAAUUGACGGGGACCCGCACAAGUAGUGGAGCAUGUGGUUUAAUUCGAAGAUACGCGCAGAACCUUACCAACACUUGACAUGUUCGUCGCGACUCUAAGAGAUUAGAGUUUUCGGUUCGGCCGGACGAAACACAGGUGCUGCAUGGCUGUCGUCAGCUCGUGUCGUGAGAUGUUGGGUUAAGUCCCGCAACGAGCGCAACCCUCACUUUUAGUUGCCAUCAUUAAGUUGGGCACUCUGAAAGAACUGCCAGUGAUAAGCUGGAGGAAGGUGGGGAUGACGUCAAGUCCUCAUGGCCCUUACGUGUUGGGCUACACACGUGCUACAAUGGUAUCUACAACAGGAAGCAAGACUGCGAAGUUAAGCAAAUCCCUAAAAGAUACCUCAGUUCGGAUUGCACUCUGCAACUCGAGUGCAUGAAGCUGGAAUUACUAGUAAUCGUGGAUCAGCGUGCCACGGUGAAUGCGUUCCCGGGUCUUGUACUCACCGCC
Molecule: ribosomal RNA, 1318 nt
Filed under: uncultured Alphaproteobacteria bacterium
Lineage: Bacteria; Pseudomonadati; Pseudomonadota; Alphaproteobacteria
Description: bacterial SSU rRNA
Rfam family: Bacterial small subunit ribosomal RNA
Source: RNAcentral